CAGUAGGGAAUCUUCCGCAAUGGGCGAAAGCCUGACGGAGCAACGCCGCGUGAGUGAUGAAGGUCUUCGGAUCGUAAAACUCUGUUAUUAGGGAAGAACAUAUGUGUAAGUAACUGUGCACAUCUUGACGGUACCUAAUCAGAAAGCCACGGCUAACUACGUGCCAGCAGCCGCGGUAAUACGUAGGUGGCAAGCGUUAUCCGGAAUUAUUGGGCGUAAAGCGCGCGUAGGCGGUUUUUUAAGUCUGAUGUGAAAGCCCACGGCUCAACCGUGGAGGGUCAUUGGAAACUGGAAAACUUGAGUGCAGAAGAGGAAAGUGGAAUUCCAUGUGUAGCGGUGAAAUGCGCAGAGAUAUGGAGGAACACCAGUGGCGAAGGCGACUUUCUGGUCUGUAACUGACGCUGAUGUGCGAAAGCGUGGGGAUCAAACAGGAUUAGAUACCCUGGUAGUCCACGCCGUAAACGAUGAGUGCUAAGUGUUAGGGGGUUUCCGCCCCUUAGUGCUGCAGCUAACGCAUUAAGCACUCCGCCUGGGGAGUACGACCGCAAGGUUG
Molecule: ribosomal RNA, 553 nt
Filed under: Staphylococcus sp. STX 2
Lineage: Bacteria; Bacillati; Bacillota; Bacilli; Caryophanales; Staphylococcaceae
Description: bacterial SSU rRNA
Rfam family: Bacterial small subunit ribosomal RNA
Source: RNAcentral